AACGCGCGGUUAAGGUGCCAAAGUCGACGCUCAUCAGACCCCACAAAAGGUGUUGGUUGCUCUAGACAGCAGGACGGUGGCCAUGGAAGUUGGAAUCCGCUAAGGAGUGUGUAACAACUCACCUGCCGAAGCAACUAGCCCUGAAAAUGGAUGGCGCUCAAGCGUCGCACCUAUAACGUGCCGUCGGAGCAGAUGCGAAGCUCCGACG
This 208-nucleotide ribosomal RNA is filed under the name Nematostella vectensis (starlet sea anemone). RNAcentral's name for it is "Eukaryotic large subunit ribosomal RNA". It matches the Rfam family "Eukaryotic large subunit ribosomal RNA", at positions 1171 to 1379 of the family's 3401-position model. Lineage: Eukaryota; Metazoa; Cnidaria; Anthozoa; Actiniaria; Edwardsiidae. The record is from Rfam by way of RNAcentral.